RNAcentral lists this unclassified non-coding RNA (238 nucleotides) under Hevea brasiliensis (rubber tree). Lineage: Eukaryota; Viridiplantae; Streptophyta; Magnoliopsida; Malpighiales; Euphorbiaceae. The record is from RNAcentral.
GUCGAAGUUUAAUUUGGGCACCUCCACUACUGUGUGAAAUCCAGUGGGAAAUUUGAAUACGAGAGUAUCGCCGGCUGCAAUGGUCUGGCUGGAAGACCAGUCAGAGUAGAAGCUUGUGUUGGGCGGGAUUGUCCAUCCGGUGCUGCCACCUACAAUAUGGGCGAUCCCUGCUGCUGCCACAGGCGAGCUAUGCAAGAGAAUGGUUGUUGCAAGCAAGGCAACGGCAGCUACAAAUGUU